Molecule: ribosomal RNA, 472 nt
Filed under: uncultured bacterium
Lineage: Bacteria
Description: bacterial SSU rRNA
Rfam family: Bacterial small subunit ribosomal RNA
Source: RNAcentral
CAGGAUGAACGCUGGCGGCGUGCCUAACACAUUCAAGUCGAACGAACUGUAGAAAUACAGUGAGUGGCGGACGGGUGAGUAACGCGUAAGCAACCUGCCUUUGUGUGUGGAAUAACAACCGGAAACAGUUGCUAAUACCGCAUGACGCAGAGAGAUCGCAUGGUCUUUCUGCCAAAGAUUUAUCGCACAAAGAUGGGCUUGCGUCCGAUUAGAUAGUUGGCGGGGUAACGGCCCACCAAGUCAACGAUCGGUAGCCGGACUGAGAGGUUGAACGGCCACAUUGGAACUGAGAUACGGUCCAGACUCCUACGGGAGGCAGCAGUGGGGAAUAUUGGGCAAUGGACGAAAGUCUGACCCAAGCGACGCCGCGUGAGGGAAGAAGGUCUUCGGAUUGUAAACCUUAGUCAACAGGGACGAAGCAAGUGACGGUACCUGUGGAGGAAGCCACGGCUAACUACGUGCCAGCAGCUGC